GGGGAAUCUUGGGCAAUGGGCGCAAGCCUGACCCAGCCAUGCCGCGUGUGCGAAGAAGGCCUUCGGGUUGUAAAGCACUUUCAGUGGUGAAGAAAAGCCAGGGGCUAAUACCCCCAGGUCUUGACGUUAGCCACAGAAGAAGCACCGGCAAACUUCGUGCCAGCAGCCGCGGUAAUACGAAGGGGGCUAGCGUUGUUCGGAAUUACUGGGCGUAAAGCGCACGUAGGCGGAUUGUUAAGUCAGAGGUGAAAUCCCGGAGCUCAACUUCGGAACUGCCUUUGAUACUGGCAAUCUCGAGUCCGGAAGAGGUUAGUGGAAUUCCCAGUGUAGAGGUGAAAUUCGUAGAUAUUGGGAAGAACACCAGUGGCGAAGGCGGCUAACUGGUCCGGUACUGACGCUGAGGUGCGAAAGCGUGGGGAGCAAA
RNAcentral lists this ribosomal RNA (424 nucleotides) under uncultured bacterium. RNAcentral describes it as "bacterial SSU rRNA". It matches the Rfam family "Bacterial small subunit ribosomal RNA", at positions 356 to 772 of the family's 1533-position model. The record is from RNAcentral.